This 429-nucleotide ribosomal RNA is filed under the name Chloroflexota bacterium. RNAcentral's name for it is "Chloroflexi bacterium partial 16S ribosomal RNA". It matches the Rfam family "Bacterial small subunit ribosomal RNA", at positions 355 to 776 of the family's 1533-position model. The record is from RNAcentral. Lineage: Bacteria; Bacillati; Chloroflexota.
UGGGGAAUAUUGCACAAUGGGCGCAAGCCUGAUGCAGCCAUGCCGCGUGUGUGAAGAAGGCCUUCGGGUUGUAAAGCACUUUCAGCGGGGAGGAAGGCGGUGAGGUUAAUAACCUCAUCGAUUGACGUUACCCGCAGAAGAAGCACCGGCUAACUCCGUGCCAGCAGCCGCGGUAAUACGGAGGGUGCAAGCGUUAAUCGGAAUUACUGGGCGUAAAGCGCACGCAGGCGGUCUGUCAAGUCGGAUGUGAAAUCCCCGGGCUCAACCUGGGAACUGCAUUCGAAACUGGCAGGCUAGAGUCUUGUAGAGGGGGGUAGAAUUCAAGGUGUAGCGGUGAAAUGCGUAGAGAUCUGGAGGAAUACCGGUGGCGAAGGCGGCCCCCUGGACAAAGACUGACGCUCAGGUGCGAAAGCGUGGGGAGCAAACAGG